GACGAACGCUGGCGGCGUGCUUAACACAUGCAAGUCGAACGCUGAAGCUCAGCUUGCUGGGUGGAUGAGUGGCGAACGGGUGAGUAACACGUGAGUAACCUGCCCUCUUCUUUGGGAUAACGCCCGGAAACGGGUGCUAAUACUGGAUAUUCACUGAUUCUCGCAUGGGGGUUGGUGGAAAGGUUUUUUCUGGUGGGGGAUGGGCUCGCGGCCUAUCAGCUUGUUGGUGGGGUGAUGGCCUACCAAGGCUUUGACGGGUGGCCGGCCUGAGAGGGUGACCGGUCACAUUGGGACUGAGAUACGGCCCAGACUCCUACGGGAGGCAGCAGUGGGGAAUAUUGCACAAUGGGCGAAAGCCUGAUGCAGCGACGCCGCGUGAGGGAUGGAGGCCUUCGGGUUGUAAACCUCUUUCGCUCAUGGUCAAGCCGCAGCUUUGGGUUGUGGUGAGGGUAGUGGGUAAAGAAGCGCCGGCUAACUACGUG
RNAcentral lists this ribosomal RNA (482 nucleotides) under uncultured bacterium. Its description in RNAcentral is "partial 16S ribosomal RNA". It matches the Rfam family "Bacterial small subunit ribosomal RNA", at positions 28 to 507 of the family's 1533-position model. The record is from RNAcentral.